RNAcentral lists this long non-coding RNA (422 nucleotides) under Homo sapiens (human). RNAcentral's name for it is "HSALNT0403943". The record is from RNAcentral. Lineage: Eukaryota; Metazoa; Chordata; Mammalia; Primates; Hominidae.
GUAGGUCUGGAUGGGGCUUGAUAAUUUGCAUUUCUAAUGCUUUCCCAGAUGAUAUGAUGCUGCUGGUCCAAGGACUACAUUUCGAGAACCCCAACCACGCAUGGAUUGUUGUCAACUAUGAAUCACAAGAGAUUUCCAGGGUUUUGUCUGCUGCCUUCCCUGCAAGCCCUGCCAUCCACUGAGACCCAACCUCAGCCAUUCUUGGCACAUCAGCCCAUGAGAAGUCUGCCACUCUUUCUUCCUAAGCAAAGCAGCAUCCUUCAGGGCCUGGAGCUCCUGGACACAAAAGCCAUUUUUGGGAGCCAGCAAAACAGCUGAGGCACAGACUAGAUGGUAGUCCAAGGACCAAGACCUGGCCAGCCAGAGGGACCAGGUGUCCAGACCCCGGACUGUUUUCAAUACAGUUAUACAAUGAAAUCAAA